This 253-nucleotide ribosomal RNA is filed under the name uncultured bacterium. RNAcentral describes it as "partial 16S ribosomal RNA". It matches the Rfam family "Bacterial small subunit ribosomal RNA", at positions 524 to 776 of the family's 1533-position model. The record is from RNAcentral.
UACGAAGGGGGCUAGCGUUGCUCGGAAUCACUGGGCGUAAAGGGUGCGUAGGCGGGUUUUUAAGUCAGGGGUGAAAUCCUGGAGCUCAACUCCAGAACUGCCUUUGAUACUGAGGAUCUUGAGCUCGGGAGAGGUGAGUGGAACUCCGAGUGUAGAGGUGAAAUUCGUAGAUAUUCGGAAGAACACCAGUGGCGAAGGCGGCUCACUGGCCCGGUACUGACGCUGAGGUGCGAAAGCGUGGGGAGCAAACAGG